UUAAGUUCAGCGGGUAGUCCUACCUGAUUUGAGGUCAGAGGUCAGAGAUGUUUCGUCCGAAGACAAAGCUUGAACCGUUCAACGACGGACCCUUCAGUCGACGGUGACUUUCUAUCACGUCCACUCGGUCGGUCAGGUCCAAGCUUUACUAUGCAUUCAAGAGGAGCCGAACGCGCGUCCGGCAACCUCCAAAAUCCAAC
This 200-nucleotide unclassified non-coding RNA is filed under the name Laetiporus sp. RNAcentral describes it as "partial internal transcribed spacer 2". The record is from RNAcentral. Lineage: Eukaryota; Fungi; Basidiomycota; Agaricomycetes; Polyporales; Laetiporaceae.